Molecule: unclassified non-coding RNA, 170 nt
Filed under: uncultured Colletotrichum
Lineage: Eukaryota; Fungi; Ascomycota; Sordariomycetes; Glomerellales; Plectosphaerellaceae
Description: sequence contains ITS1
Source: RNAcentral
CUGAGUUACCGCUCUACAACCCUUUGUGAACAUACCUAACUGUUGCUUCGGCGGGCAGAGGUCCCUCGCGGAUCUCUCCCGGCCCCGUCUCACGACGGAGCGCCCGCCGGAGGCCACCAAACCAUUGUUUCUACUUUAGUUUUCUCUGAGUGGUUUAAACAAAUAAAUCA